CCGACCUUAGCUCAGUUGGUAGAGCGGAGGACUGUAGUGGGUCAACCCCUUGGCUAUCCUUAGGUCGCUGGUUCGAAUCCGGCAGGUCGGA
Non-coding RNA from Corchorus olitorius, 91 nucleotides. The record is from Rfam. Lineage: Eukaryota; Viridiplantae; Streptophyta; Magnoliopsida; Malvales; Malvaceae.